This 497-nucleotide ribosomal RNA is filed under the name uncultured bacterium. Its description in RNAcentral is "partial 16S ribosomal RNA". It matches the Rfam family "Bacterial small subunit ribosomal RNA", at positions 28 to 507 of the family's 1533-position model. The record is from RNAcentral.
GAUGAACGCUGGCGGCGUGCCUAAUACAUGCAAGUCGAGCGAACAGACGAGGAGCUUGCUCCUCUGACGUUAGCGGCGGACGGGUGAGUAACACGUGGAUAACCUACCUAUAAGACUGGGAUAACUUCGGGAAACCGGAGCUAAUACCGGAUAAUAUAUUGAACCGCAUGGUUCAAUAGUGAAAGACGGUUUUGCUGUCACUUAUAGAUGGAUCCGCGCCCCAUUAGCUAGUUGGUAAGGUAACGGCUUACCAAGGCAACGAUGCGUAGCCGACCUGAGAGGGUGAUCGGCAACACUGGAACUGAGACACGGUCCAGAAUCAUACGGGAGGCAGCAGUAGGGAAUCUUCCGAAAUGGGCGAAAGCUUGACGGAGCAACGCCGCGUGAGUGAUGAAGGUCUUCGGAACGUAAAACUCUGUUAUUAGGGAAGAACAAAUGUGUAAGUAACUAUGCACGUCUUGACGGUACCUAAUCAGAAAGCCACGGCUAACUACGUG